GGGGGUGUUCCGGAUUCGACCUCAAGUUGGAGCAUCUGGCUGCAUGUAGAGGAUGAUAGUUGGCCUCUUAAAUCGUCUAUCAAAAACACAAAUGGCACACACGAAGAAAUGCCUCUAGCUGCUUAAUAUAGCGCUACGUUCCCCCGCCGAUACUCGCUAGGCGGAGCGGAGCGACGACCAGCGAGCAUAGCCGAGAACGGGCGCCUCUUGCGCCUCGGCCGUACUUCACCAAGAGGCUGGCCUCGAAGGUAGCGCGGUUUCGUCGCGACCGAGAGGCGAGAUCAAAAACGAAAACAAACAUGUAGACGCCUUAUGUGAAGGCUCGAGGGACGCGGGUUCGACUCCCGCCACCUCCACCA
This 359-nucleotide transfer-messenger RNA is filed under the name Pelagicoccus sp. SDUM812005. It matches the Rfam family "transfer-messenger RNA". From Rfam's summary of the family: Bacterial tmRNA, also known as 10Sa RNA or SsrA, is named for its dual tRNA and mRNA-like properties. The record is from RNAcentral. Lineage: Bacteria; Pseudomonadati; Verrucomicrobiota; Opitutia; Puniceicoccales; Pelagicoccaceae.